GGGCCCGCACAAGCGGUGGAGCAUGUGGUUUAAUUCGAUGAUACGCGAGGAACCUUACCAGGGCUUAAAUGUAGUAUGACCGGCUUGGAAACAGGCCUUCUCUUCGGAGCAGAUUACAAGGUGCUGCAUGGUUGUCGUCAGCUCGUGCCGUGAGGUGUUAGGUUAAGUCCUAUAACGAGCGCAACCCCUGUCGUUAGUUACCAGCAAGUAAUGUUGGGUACUCUAGCGAGACUGCCGGUGCAAACCGUGAGGAAGGUGGGGAUGACGUCAAAUCAUCAUGCCCCUUACAUCCUGGGCUACACACGUACUACAAUGCUACGGACAAAGGGCAGCAAGUUCGCGAGGACAAGCAAAUCCCAUAAACCGUGGCUCAGUUCAGAUCGUAGGCUGCAACUCGCCUACGUGAAGGCGGAAUCGCUAGUAAUCG
This 427-nucleotide ribosomal RNA is filed under the name uncultured bacterium. RNAcentral describes it as "bacterial SSU rRNA". It matches the Rfam family "Bacterial small subunit ribosomal RNA", at positions 917 to 1344 of the family's 1533-position model. The record is from RNAcentral.